CCUACGGGGGGCAGCAGUGGGGAAUAUUGCACAAUGGGGGAAACCCUGAUGCAGCGACGCCGCGUGAGUGAAGAAGUAUUUCGGUAUGUAAAGCUCUAUCAGCAGGGAAGAAAAUGACGGUACCUGACUAAGAAGCCCCGUCUAACUACGUGCCAGCAGCCGCGGUAAUACGUAGGGGGCAAGCGUUAUCCGGAUUUACUGGGUGUAAAGGGAGCGUAGACGGCAGCGCAAGUCUGACGUGAAAUCCCUUGGCUUAACCAUGGAACUGCUUUGGAAACUGUGCAGCUGGAGUGCAGGAGAGGUAAGCGGAAUUCCGAGUGUAGCGGUGAAAUGCGUAGAGAUUAGGAGGAACACCAGUGGCGAAGGCGGCUUACUGGACUGUAACUGACGUUGAGGCUCGAAAGCGUGGGGAGCAAACAGGAUUAGAUACCCUGGUAGUC
RNAcentral lists this ribosomal RNA (440 nucleotides) under uncultured bacterium. RNAcentral describes it as "partial 16S ribosomal RNA". It matches the Rfam family "Bacterial small subunit ribosomal RNA", at positions 338 to 795 of the family's 1533-position model. The record is from RNAcentral.